GAUGAACGCUGGCGGCGUGCCUAAUACAUGCAAGUCGAGCGAACGGACGAGAAGCUUGCUUCUCUGAUGUUAGCGGCGGACGGGUGAGUAACACGUGGAUAACCUACCUAUAAGACUGGGAUAACUUCGGGAAACCGGAGCUAAUACCGGAUAAUAUUUUGAACCGCAUGGUUCAAAAGUGAAAGACGGUCUUGCUGUCACUUAUAGAUGGAUCCGCGCUGCAUUAGCUAGUUGGUAAGGUAACGGCUUACCAAGGCAACGAUGCAUAGCCGGCCUGAGAGGGUGAUCGGCCACACUGGAACUGAGACACGGUCCAGACUCCUACGGGAGGCGGCAGUAGGGAAUCUUCCGCAAUGGGCGAAAGCCUGACGGAGCAACGCCGCGUGAGUGAUGAAGGUCUUCGGAUCGUAAAACUCUAUUAUUAGGGAAGAACAUAUGUGUAAGUAACUGUGCACAUCUUGACGGUACCUAAUCAGAAAGCCACGGCUAACUACGUG
RNAcentral lists this ribosomal RNA (497 nucleotides) under uncultured bacterium. Its description in RNAcentral is "partial 16S ribosomal RNA". It matches the Rfam family "Bacterial small subunit ribosomal RNA", at positions 28 to 507 of the family's 1533-position model. The record is from RNAcentral.